RNAcentral lists this ribosomal RNA (301 nucleotides) under uncultured bacterium. RNAcentral describes it as "partial 16S ribosomal RNA". It matches the Rfam family "Bacterial small subunit ribosomal RNA", at positions 509 to 809 of the family's 1533-position model. The record is from RNAcentral.
CAGCAGCCGCGGGAAUACGAAGGGGGCUAGCGUUGUUCGGAAUUACUGGGCGUAAAGCGCACGUAGGCGGAUAUUUAAGUCAGGGGUGAAAUCCCGCAGCUCAACUGCGGAACUGCCUUUGAUACUGGGUAUCUUGAGUAUGGAAGAGGUUAGUGGAAUUGCGAGUGUAGAGGUGAAAUUCGUAGAUAUUCGCAGGAACACCAGUGGCGAAGGCGGCUAACUGGUCCAUAACUGACGCUGAGGUGCGAAAGCGUGGGGAGCAAACAGGAUUAGAUACCCCAGUAGUCCCUGUCUCUUAUAA